This 468-nucleotide ribosomal RNA is filed under the name uncultured bacterium. RNAcentral describes it as "partial 16S ribosomal RNA". It matches the Rfam family "Bacterial small subunit ribosomal RNA", at positions 28 to 507 of the family's 1533-position model. The record is from RNAcentral.
GACGAACGCUGGCGGCGUGCUUAACACAUGCAAGUCGAACGGAAAGGCCCUGCUUUUGUGGGGUGCUCGAGUGGCGCACGGGUGAGUAACACGUGAGUAACCUGCCCUUGAAUUUGUGAUAACUUCAGGAAACUGGGGAUAAUACCGGAUAGGAGCUCCUGCUGCAUGGCGGGGGAUGGAAAGUUUCGGCGGUUGGGGAUGGACUCGCGGCUUAUCAGCUUGUUGGUGGGGUAGUGGCUUACCAAGGCUUUGACGGGUAGCCGGCCUGAGAGGGUGACCGGCCACAUUGGGACUGAGAUACGGCCCAGACUCCUACGGGAGGCAGCAGUGGGGAAUAUUGCACAAUGGGCGGAAGCCUGAUGCAGCAACGCCGCGUGCGGGAUGACGGCCUUCGGGUUGUAAACCGCUUUCGCCUGUGACGAAGCGUGAGUGACGGUAAUGGGUAAAGAAGCACCGGCUAACUACGUG